This 193-nucleotide ribosomal RNA is filed under the name Tutelina hartii. Its description in RNAcentral is "partial 16S ribosomal RNA". The record is from RNAcentral. Lineage: Eukaryota; Metazoa; Arthropoda; Arachnida; Araneae; Salticidae.
CCUAAAUAAAGCAAAAUUUAUAAUAGGAAGUCUGUUCGACCUUUAAAUAAUUACAUGAUUUGAGUUCAGACCGGUACAAGCCAGGUCGGUUUCUAUCUUUUAAAAAUAUUUUUGUAGUACGAAAGGACCUAAAAAUUAAAUUUUAUUUAUAAAAUUGGCAGAAUAAUGCAUUAGAAUUAGAAUCUAAUUAACU